RNAcentral lists this ribosomal RNA (773 nucleotides) under uncultured Neocallimastigales. Its description in RNAcentral is "partial large subunit ribosomal RNA". It matches the Rfam family "Eukaryotic large subunit ribosomal RNA", at positions 24 to 643 of the family's 3401-position model. Lineage: Eukaryota; Fungi; Neocallimastigomycota; Neocallimastigomycetes; Neocallimastigales. The record is from RNAcentral.
UAUGUGAUCGUCUCUCGCAUAUCAAUAAGCGGAGGAAAAGAAACUAACAAGGAUUCCCCUAGUAACGGCGAGUGAAGCGGGAAGAGCUCAAAUUUGAGAUCUUAAAGGGUUUCCCUUUACGAAUUGUAGUUUAAAGAAGUGUUUUCUGUUGAGGUUUUGGUAAAAGUUCUUUGGAAUAGGACAUCAUAGAGGGUGAGAAUCCCGUAUUUGACCUUUACUUUCAACUUUGUGAUACACUUUCAAAGAGUCGGAUUGUUUGGGAAUGCAGUCCAAAAUGGGUGGUAAAUUUCAUCUAAAGCUAAAUAUUGGCGAGAGACCGAUAGCGAACAAGUACCGUGAGGGAAAGAUGAAAAGAACUUUGAAAAGAGAGUUAAACAGUACGUGAAAUUGUCAAAAGGGAAGCGUUUGACACCAGUGUUGUUUUCUGAAAAUCAAUUAAAGAACUGUUUAUGCUAAGUUGUUAGACUUUAUCAGCUAACUGUUUAGUCUUGAGCUUUUCUUUAAUGCACUUUUCAGUUAACAAGUCAACAUCAAUUUCUUUUGCCUGUAAAAAAGCUUGAGGAAGGUGGCUUGAGAUUCGUCUUAAGUGUUUAUAGCCUCUUGCCUAUGCAGUCGGAGAGAUUGAGGUCUGCAGCGUAGAUCCUUCGGGGCUAAAUGCAUUUGUGCUAAGUUAUAGCAUUUUAUAGACAACUUGUUGACUAUGAUUUGUCUUGUAGCUUACUCGCUUAUGUUAUUUUACCUACGCUUAGGAUGUUGACACACGCGCGUGCUCG